ACGCAGGAGGAUAGGAUGUGCGCACUAUUGGAUGUGCGUCUAAGCACUUAGGGUGUUAAGUAGGCAAAUCCGCUUAAUAUUAAGCCUGAGGUGUGAUGGGGAGCCUAUUUUGGCGAAGUAUCUGAUUCCACGCUGCCAAGAAAAGUCUCUAUGGAGCAAAAUGGUGCCCGUACCGCAAACCGACACAGGUAGAUGAGGAGAGAAUCCUAAGGUCGUCGGAAGAAUUAUUGCUAAGGAACUCGGCAAAUUGACCCCGUAACUUAGGGAGAAGGGGUGCCUACGAGAGUAGGCCGCAGUGAAUAGGCUCAAGCAACUGUUUAUCAAAAACACAGGUCUCUGCUAAAGCGCAAGCUGAUGUAUAGGGGCUGACGCCUGCCCGGUGCUGGAAGGUUAAGGGGAAUAGUUAGCGCAAGCGAAGCUAUGAACUUAAGCCCCAGUAAACGGCGGCCGUAACUAUAACGGUCCUAAGGUAGCGAAAUUCCUUGUCGGGUAAGUUCCGAC
This 501-nucleotide ribosomal RNA is filed under the name Clostridium botulinum D/C. RNAcentral describes it as "partial 23S ribosomal RNA". It matches the Rfam family "Bacterial large subunit ribosomal RNA", at positions 1472 to 1987 of the family's 2925-position model. The record is from RNAcentral. Lineage: Bacteria; Bacillati; Bacillota; Clostridia; Eubacteriales; Clostridiaceae.